ACUGGGACAAAAUGCAAUGGCGUGCUCACCGUCACUGGAUUUAGGCAUUAUGCGUGUUAGGCACCAUCAGCCAGAGUGCUGCAUGUGGAAAGGGGACCCCUGUCUCCCACACUGCCAACUCAUACUUACCUGGCAGGGGCGAUACCAUGAUCACGAAGGUGGUUCGCCCAGGGCGAGGCUCAGCCAUUGCACUGCGGUUGUGCUGACCCCUGUGAAUUCCCCACAUGCGGGAAUCUCAACUGCAUAAUUUGUGGUAGUGGGGGACUGCGUUCGCGCUCUCCCCUCACUCUUGUGUCCAAAAGCAAAUGUAGCCGGAGGGGCUACUCGCUUUUCCUUUCUCUUUCGCCCCCACUUGCGCUACUGCUUUCUCUCUCUCUCGCUCUCCUGUGCUUGCUCCCGCUGCGCGCUUACAGGAGCCCACCUGUAUAUUGAUUACAGGGCGGCGUGUACCUGUAUAAAGGGAAGCCGGGUUUUCUCGUUGGAUUAUUUCCUCCCGAGCUUCUGGUGCGAUACAGCGGUAGACGCUGGCUUGUUGGUUAAAUUACUGAGGCGAUCAGGUCAUGUGAUUGCUACAGCGCGGCUGUUUUUCUUUCCUUUGCUCCAGCCGUGGUGAGGAGACGCGUGAGUGCAUCCGCCGUGCAGUACAGCGCCUCCAAGUUCUGGGGGUUUGAUUGCUGCCGUGCCCUCUCGGGGACCAACCGCCUGCUUUGGUUACGUAGAGAGUCGGGCGCCUGCUCUGCUGCUGUCUUGUUUUGUUGAUCUUGUUUGUUUGAUUUUGUUUUGCCCUGUUUUGUUUUGUGUUGUUUUGGUUAUAUUACGGUUAAUCUGUCGGCGGCCCGGUUUUUCCUUGUAGCUUGCCUUGCCACGCCCUCUUGGACUAUCGUUUGCUCCAGCUUUUUGUGGCUGGCCGGGGCGAUUCUCGGCUGUAUAUUGGGCUGGUUAUACAAACUGGUACUGCCUCUCCCCUUUCUCCCAGCUGUGGGAAGUUGUGUGAGACCGAGCAGACCAAGGACAAUCGGACCCAGCACCAGCUGUGGGCUGGUUCGCCGAGCGAAAGUAUUUCUAACCAGUGCUCUGUGGUGUAUAUCUGGGUGUGUUGUAUCACAGACUUUGGUUUUCCUUUAAUUGUUUCUUUUUUUUGUUUUGUAGGUUGAGAGCCUGUUUGUGUCCCAUGUUUUUCACCUUUUAAUGUGUAUGUUCUGUAUUUUUAUUGUAGUGGACGGAGGAUCUACCAGCGGCUGUGGGACCGUAGGUGGUGGGUCGUUUUCCACGCUUCUUUUGUUGUACAGCACCAGGUGAAAAGACUGUAGUAGGUUUCCUUUGUGUGGUUUUGUUUUGGUCCACCACUGCUGGUAAUCCCCGGUUGUAUAUAUAUUCUUUCUUGUAAACUGGGACGCUGUUUUAGAUAUUCAGUGUGUUGUUGUUUUUUUCAUGUUAUAUAAUAAAUUCAAUUGUGUCCAUAUUUGAACCGGCCUCACCGUGCAUCCCUGAACCUGUGCGAACGUAAUUGUCCUAACUACAUUUUAUUUUUCUUUCAGUUUGUAUUUCCUGGGGGCUAGCCUUUCCCCCCAGGUGGCGUUGUCAAUAUUUUUCUCCAUUCUUGUAGAACCCCGCCGACCACUUGGUCACACAAAGAUCCAUGUGUCUGCUCUUCUCUCUGUCUGGCCAUUGAACUGGGACAAAAUGCAAUGCCGUGCUCACCGUCACUGGAUUCAGGCAUUAUGCGUGUUAGGCACCAUCAGCCAGAGUGCUGCAUGUGGAAAGGGGACCCCUGUCUCCCACACUGCCAACUCACACAGACCCACCAUGAUGACAUCGGCUGCUAAUAUGACAGGUUCCAGGAGGAACGCUGUGCGAUUUGAGAUGCAAGGCAAUUGCAAAAUGGAUCGGCUACAGUUUAGUAGGAUAAUCAUCCAGAAAGAGUUGGGAUUCUCGCUGACGCAGAUUGACUGUAUCUUUGGCUUGUCAGGAAAGAGAAGUUACG
Oreochromis niloticus (Nile tilapia) is the source of this 1984-nucleotide long non-coding RNA. RefSeq lists it as uncharacterized. The record is from RefSeq and is a predicted model, not a curated record. The transcript has 3 exons. Lineage: Eukaryota; Metazoa; Chordata; Actinopteri; Cichliformes; Cichlidae.